RNAcentral lists this ribosomal RNA (466 nucleotides) under uncultured bacterium. RNAcentral describes it as "partial 16S ribosomal RNA". It matches the Rfam family "Bacterial small subunit ribosomal RNA", at positions 29 to 506 of the family's 1533-position model. The record is from RNAcentral.
ACGAACGCUGGCGGCGUGCUUAACACAUGCAAGUCGAACGGAAAGGCCCUGCUUUUGUGGGGUGCUCGAGUGGCGAACGGGUGAGUAACACGUGAGUAACCUGCCCUUGACUUUGGGAUAACUUCAGGAAACUGGGGCUAAUACCGGAUAGGAGCUCCUGCUGCAUGGUGGGGGUUGGAAAGUUUCGGCGGUUGGGGAUGGACUCGCGGCUUAUCAGCUUGUUGGUGGGGUAGUGGCUUACCAAGGCUUUGACGGGUAGCCAGCCUGAGAGGGUGACCGGCCACAUUGGGACUGAGAUACGGCCCAGACUCCUACGGGAGGCAGCAGUGGGGAAUAUUGCACAAUGGGCGGAAGCCUGAUGCAGCAACGCCGCGUGCGGGAUGACGGCCUUCGGGUUGUAAACCGCUUUCGCCUGUGACGAAGCGUGAGUGACGGUAAUGGGUAAAGAAGCACCGGCUAACUACGU